GUAGCACAGAGGAACUUGUUCCUUGGGUGACGAGCGGCGGACGGGUGAGUAACGCGUAGGAAUCUGCCUGGUAGUGGGGGACAACAUGUGGAAACGCAUGCUAAUACCGCAUACGCCCUUAGGGGGAAAGGAGGGGAUCUUAGGACCUUUCGCUAUCAGAUGAGCCUGCGUGAGAUUAGCUAGUUGGUGGGGUAAAGGCUCACCAAGGCGACGAUCUCUAGCUGGUCUGAGAGGAUGACCAGUCACACUGGGACUGAGACACGGCCCAGACUCCUACGGGAGGCAGCAGUGGGGAAUAUUGGACAAUGGGGGCAACCCUGAUCCAGCCAUGCCGCGUGUGUGAAGAAGGCCUUAGGGUUGUAAAGCACUUUCAGUGGUGAGGAAGGGUGCGUAGUUAAUACCUACGUAUCUUGACGUUAGCCACAGAAGAAGCACCGGCUAACUCUGUGCCAGCAGCCGCGGUAAUACAGAGGGUGCAAGCGUUAAUCGGAAUUACUGGGCGUAAAGCGCGCGUAGGUGGUUUGUUAAGUCGGAUGUGAAAUCCCCGGGCUCAACCUGGGAACUGCACCCGAUACUGGCAAGCUAGAGUACAAUAGAGGGGUGUGGAAUUUCCUGUGUAGCGGUGAAAUGCGUAGAUAUAGGAAGG
RNAcentral lists this ribosomal RNA (646 nucleotides) under Marinomonas fungiae. Its description in RNAcentral is "bacterial SSU rRNA". It matches the Rfam family "Bacterial small subunit ribosomal RNA", at positions 66 to 704 of the family's 1533-position model. Lineage: Bacteria; Pseudomonadati; Pseudomonadota; Gammaproteobacteria; Oceanospirillales; Oceanospirillaceae. The record is from RNAcentral.